CCAGGCUGGAGUGCAGUGGCUAUUCACAGGCUGGAGUGCAGUGGCUAUUCACAGGCGCGAUCCCACUACUGAUCAGCACGGGAGUUUUGACCUGCUCCGUUUCCGACCUGGGCCGGUUCACCCCUCCUUAGGCAACCUGGUGGUCCCCCGCUCCCGGGAGGUCACCAUAUUGAUGCCGAACUUAGUGCGGACACCCGAUCGGCAUAGCGCACUACAGCCCAGAACUCCUGGGCUCAAGCGAUCCUCCCACCUCAGCCUCCCGAGUAGCUGGGACUACAGGCACGCGCCACCGCGCCCGGCGG
RNAcentral lists this long non-coding RNA (302 nucleotides) under Homo sapiens (human). Its description in RNAcentral is "non-protein coding lnc-ARF6-1:1". The record is from RNAcentral. Lineage: Eukaryota; Metazoa; Chordata; Mammalia; Primates; Hominidae.